Long non-coding RNA from Anopheles arabiensis, 1112 nucleotides. RefSeq lists it as uncharacterized. The record is from RefSeq and is a predicted model, not a curated record. NCBI's taxonomy places the organism in Eukaryota, Metazoa, Arthropoda, Insecta, Diptera, Culicidae. The transcript has 6 exons.
GGAUGUACGCACGUGGAGUGAGCCAUUUCUGUUCAGACUGCGGUGUGCUUCGUGUGUAGUAAUUGUUUUUUUUGUGCGUGUGUUCCUCUUAAACUGCAAAUGAUUGAGAUGAGCUUUCUCCUUAUCGAUAGACUUUAAGUUCUGGAGCGAUAGCCAAAAAAUAUCUCACUGGUUGUAUCAGACUCAUGCUCUGGCUUACAAGCCACAUUGAAAUCAACCAAUAAAAUGUAACUCCCAGAGCAUGGGUUAAAAUAGCAGAAAUGGCUAGCAACACCAGUAUCGGAACAGCUCAUGCUCUGGCAGACGAGUAAUGAGCUUUACAACAAAAGCAGUGUAACUGCCAGAGCAUGGGGCUGAAUAGCUCACAGGCUAGGGAGCAUGGUGCCCACGUGCAAGAGAGCGUGGCACCAGCUCCGAUACUAGUAUCGCCAAAUCAGGAUGGAUGCGUGAGCUGGCAGCUAUUCGACAACGAUAAAGACGGCAAUGUCACAGUCAUCACAGUCACAGUCUUGCCGUAUUGGUGGCUUUUGCUGAUAUCGAGUGAAGGCCUUUACCCGUAGCAAAAAACUGCAGCUUUUGCGAUGCAUCGAAAAACACCCCUUGCUCUGGCAGGUAAGUCAUAUAUACUAUGGCAAUAAAACCCUUACUGCCAGGGCAUGGGGUGCAAUAGCUGCGGGGCUACGGGGAUCGGUGCCGGAGUUUAAGAAGCUGUGGCAGCAGCUCAGGUACCGCUAUCGGCAGAUUCAGACGCGCGUAGACGCUGCUAGCCGCAAUGGCGAAAAUCCUAGGUACAGGCCAAAAUGGUUCGCGUACGAGGCCAUGGCCUUCCUUAGAAGCAGCAGCAGUGGUGCAAUGCUGCAGAGAGAUGGCCAGGUUUCGUACCGGCCAGCAGAGGAAGCUGCCGGAUUGGGCAACCCUUUGGCUUCCUCAACGCCUAGGCCUGUACCUAGGGAGGAGGAUAUGGGGGCGUACGAUUUUGGCCCAUUGUUUGAGGUGGCAGCUCAAGCAAUGAGGCCAAAAAGAAAAAAAGACGCCCCCAGAAUUCUGCAGGCCAUUAUCGACGCGAUAGGACGUUUUGAGGACGCUUAAGUGUUAAUUUUUUGUUUUGUUAU